This 558-nucleotide ribosomal RNA is filed under the name uncultured archaeon. Its description in RNAcentral is "bacterial SSU rRNA". It matches the Rfam family "Archaeal small subunit ribosomal RNA", at positions 326 to 887 of the family's 1478-position model. The record is from RNAcentral.
CGGGGUGCAGCAGGCGCGAAAACUUUACAAUGCCGGCAACGGCGAUAAGGGAACCUCGAGUGCCAGGUUACAAAUCUGGCUGUCGUGAUGCCUAAAAAGCAUUGCAUAGCAAGGGCCGGGCAAGACCGGUGCCAGCCGCCGCGGUAACACCGGCGGCUCGAGUGGUAACCGUUAUUAUUGGGUCUAAAGGGUCUGUAGCCGGCCGGGUAAGUCUCUUGGGAAAUCUGGCAGCUUAACUGUCAGGCUUUCAGGAGAUACUGCCUGGCUCGAGGCCGGGAGAGGUGAGAGGUACUUCAGGGGUAGGGGUGAAAUCUUGUAAUCCUUGAAGGACCACCAGUGGCGAAGGCGUCUCACCAGAACGGACCUGACGGCAAGGGACGAAAGCUAGGGGCACGAACCGGAUUAGAUACCCGGGUAGUCCUAGCCGUAAACGAUACUCGCUAGGUGUCGGCCACGGUGCGACCGUGGUCGGUGCCGUAGGGAAGCCGUGAAGCGAGCCACCUGGGAAGUACGGCCGCAAGGCUGAAACUUAAAGGAAUUGGCGGGGGAGCACAAGGG